UACGGAGGGUGCAAGCGUUGCUCGGAAUUACUGGGCGUAAAGCGCGUGUAGGCGGCCGAUUAAGUCUGGUGUGAAAGCCCGGGGCUCACCCCCGGAAGUGCGCUGGAAACUGGUCGGCUAGAGUAUGGGAGAGGAAAGUGGAAUUCCCGGUGUAGCGGUGAAAUGCGCAGAUAUCAGGAGGAACACCGGUGGCGAAGGCGGGUCUCUGGGCAACAACUGACGCUGAGGAGCGAAAGCGUGGGGAGCGAACAGG
This 253-nucleotide ribosomal RNA is filed under the name uncultured bacterium. RNAcentral describes it as "partial 16S ribosomal RNA". It matches the Rfam family "Bacterial small subunit ribosomal RNA", at positions 524 to 776 of the family's 1533-position model. The record is from RNAcentral.